RNAcentral lists this ribosomal RNA (468 nucleotides) under uncultured bacterium. Its description in RNAcentral is "partial 16S ribosomal RNA". It matches the Rfam family "Bacterial small subunit ribosomal RNA", at positions 28 to 507 of the family's 1533-position model. The record is from RNAcentral.
GACGAACGCUGGCGGCGUGCUUAACACAUGCAAGUCGAACGGAAAGGCCCUGCUUUUGUGGGGUUCUCGAGUGGCGAACGGGUGAGUAACACGUGAGUAACCUGCCCUUGACUUUGGGAUAACUUCAGGAAACUGGGGCUAAUACCGGAUAGGAGCUCCUGCUGCAUGGUGGGGGUUGGAAAGUUUCGGCGGUUGGGGAUGGACUCGCGGCUUAUCAGCUUGUUGGUGGGGUAGUGGCUUACCAAGGCUUUGACGGGUAGCCGGCCUGAGAGGGUGACCGGACACAUUGGGACUGAGAUACGGCCCAGACUCCUACGGGAGGCAGCAGUGGGGAAUAUUGCACAAUGGGCGGAAUCCGGAUGCAGCAACGCCGCGUGCUGGAUGACGGCCUUCGGGUUGUAAACCGCUUUCGCCUGUGACGAAGCGUGAGUGACGGUAAUGGGUAAAGAAGCACCGGCUAACUACGUG